AUUAAAAGCGCCCACUUAUAAUAACAACAGUGUGAUGAUUAAGAUGAGAAGAUUAUUUCUACAAUCAGAUUCUACCUUUUCUUUGUUUGCUAGUCAGUGGCGUCUGGGGAAAAAAUCCCAGCAUUCUCAGCGUCGAUAAAACCCCAAAGGCUUCCUGCCCGCCAUUUCACUUUUGGGUAGCUACUUAGCAAGCGCCUUCGUUUGAGGUAGUUUUCCUUGUGAAACCAUUAUAUAUCUCAUCGUUGAAUUAACAAGCAAAUAAUCAAUAUUGGUAGUCAAAUUUAUAUUAAAACAUUUGUUUAUUAAGGCAAUUGGAAUCGACACGUUAACGAACGACCACAGUUUUAAUUGAAGACCAGCGUUCACAAACCAGGCCUGGGCCAUGGCAGGGUGUGGCUCACGUCAUAAAGUCCGCCGAUGGCCUGUGUCAGACAUCACUGGGCAUCAGCACAAGACUGUGUUUCCUGAAAAUUGUCACGCCAAUGCGAAAGAGUUUGUGUUCGUUGUUGGCGAUUCACAUCUGAGAUCUUUUGCUGAUGGAGUUGUGAACAUGCCAGAGGGUCGGCUGUCCUUUGGUUUUAUGGCCACACCUGGAGGAGAUGCAACAGCGUUGCGUUUGGAGAUCUCCCAUCUUGGUGCUACUCCACGUACUCCAGAUGCAGUGUGCCUGCUUGCUCCAGGGAACAACAUGACCUCAAGUCGCACUAUUGAGGAAGCUGCCAGGGCCUUUGGGACUCUCCUCAGUGUUGCAUUGCAACACUGGCCAAACAAGGUGUUUGUGGUGGAUUUCCCUAUACGACAUGUACAUGCAACACUGGAAUACCAGCUUCUGCUAAAGCAGGAAUAUCACCGAGUUGCAGCAAAGAUGGGGGUGCGGUAUUUCUCAACAAAUGAUGUUUUCCAGCCAUCCAAAAGGCAUCUCUGGUGUCAGGAUUUGGUACACCUAAGUGAUGACAAAGGUAUGCCUCUCCUUGCGGACUUCAUUUGGAACACUUCAUACAGCAUCCUACACGUCCCUGUCAAUCCUGUGCCACUUGGAGUGCGUCCUACACUCAAAAGAUGCUUCCACAAAAACAAGAAGAAGCAUGGUACUUCAUCACAGCCACAGUGUGUUGCUCCAUCUCAGCGCUCAGCAACAUCCUAUCGGCCCUUUCCAGCUGUUAAAAUGAAGUAUGUCGACCAUGACCAAUGGACACACCUGCUGCCUACUGUUCCAGGUAAUUCUUG
Molecule: long non-coding RNA, 1227 nt
Organism: Anguilla anguilla (European eel)
Lineage: Eukaryota; Metazoa; Chordata; Actinopteri; Anguilliformes; Anguillidae
Exons: 6
Source: RefSeq, a predicted model, not a curated record